CGAGUCCUUCAGCUUGUCAUAAUUGAGCACCUUCCACUGCUGAUUCACAGCCUGCCAGCGGUGGAAGAUACGAAACACGGACGGCCCCUCGUGCACGAUCAGAGCUGAGAGAGGGAAAACGAGUAUUAGGACCUCUUUGUGCUGGUAUGGGUUGCCAUGGAUCCAGAGUCUAUCUAGAGAACGCUGGGUGUGAGGCGACCCUGAACUGGACGCCGGUCUGUUAAAGAGCACAAUGUACACACGUUCACAUCAAGGGGCAAUUAAACAUAACCAAUCCACCUGGCAUGUUUUUGGGAGGUGGGCGGAAACUGGAGGAAACCAGAAAAACCCCACGUGGACACGGUGAGAACGUGCACAACUCUACUAACCUGAGUUCAGGAUCGAGCCCGGGAUGCUGGAGCUGUGAAGCAGCAGUGCUACUUGCUGCAACACCAUGCCUCUCUAAUGCAAUACUGACUCACCAGGAGCCUAAUCAUCAGCCAGUAAGAUGACUCAGGCUGAGUUCCAAUACAGUUUUAACCCUCCCUUGUUGACUUCCUCGCUGUGUUUCCCUGGAGGGAAUUCCCAUCACCAUAUAAGGCCUGUUCUAAUACUAGUAACAGUUCACGAACAGAACAUUUCAUUUGCAUUCUAAAAUCAUGUUUUUGAUUAAACAAGUCCGAAAACUCCUCCUACCUCCUCUUUAACCCCCUGUGUACGUACACUAUAUGGCCAAAAGUAUGUGGACAUAGAGCAUCGCACUCAAUAUACACUACUGUAAUAGAUGGCGCUCCCUGUCUGUAUGGAGGAAUAACAGAUAACUCACUAAAAAUACACAGUUAAUUAUUGAUGCAAAAAUUCAGCCUGCAUUAAUUGGAUUUUACUCUCAGAUAUUUCUCUUUCUCUCUCUCUCUCAUUCAUCCACUCUGUAUAGCCACUUUCAGAGAUGUCAUGAUCCGUCAUGGAAUGGAGAACAGGACCGAGUCAUUAAUCACUCCCUCUAAAAUACAUGUACACACGGAGAUUAUUCACAGCAAAAAAGAUCCCUCGCAGCCUGUACGCAUAAAAAUAUAUUAUUAUUCUCUUUAAUCUGCCAAAAAGUGUGUAACAGCCUCCACUCUCAGUCCAAUAGCUUUGUCUGGUCUAUUCAGGCGUGUCUGUCAUCCUAAUAGAGUGGAGAGUCUUUCCCUUCCAUCAGUGCGUGGGUAUUAUAGCCUCGGCCUCUCAAGCCCUCGCCGUAUUUCUCAUCUGUUUUUAUGGACCAUCUGUGACAUGAAGCUACAGAACAGUGAGUCUGUCAAAGCCUCGUAUUUCACACGACUGUCAGAGAAGAGCAGGACGCUGGAGAAGUCAUCAAACGCAUGCCAGUUCCUUUAUAGUGGCCUGAGGAUUAUGGGGCAGCUUUUUAUUGAAGCGAUUAUGUUUGAGGAAAUCUUCUCCAUGCUCAGGUUGAGCCAUUUGUCGGUCUUUUUUAAGUCUCGCUUAGUGUUUUCCUUUGGCUUAUCCUCGCUUCCUGUUUAUCUCUCGCUGUAUAAACGUGCAAGUAGCCCUUCUCACAGAACUCGCAGCGAAGCAGAUUCGCAAUUAUCAUCUGACACUUAAUUAAUAAAUAAUUCUAUCAUUUAAUUAGGAGCAAGAUUUCCCCUGAAAGAGUGACUCGGAGAGGAAGAGAAUGAUCGCAAGACUGCAUUUUACACCUAGGUUUUGGACUGCUUUGUGUUUUCAUGCCCACAUACUGGAUUAUGAUUGGACAAACAUGCAGGUUAAAGGUAACAAUCCUGGGGAUUGAGAGCAAAUGAAAAGUAAUAUGUUUUUUAUUUACUUAAAUAAUCCCGGGGGGUGGGCAUGGUGGCUUAGUGGUUAGCACACUUGAACUGUACCUCCAGGGUUGGGGUUCGAUUCCCGCUUCCACCCUGUGUGCGUGGAGCUUUCCUCCCCCAGUCCAAAGACAUGCGUUGUAGGCUGAUUGGCAUCUCUAAAUUGUAGUGUGCGAGUGUGUGUGAUUGUGCCCUGUGAUGGGUUGGCACCCCGUUCAGGGUGUCCCCCACCUUGCGAGUCCCCGGGGAUAGGCUCCGGGCUCCUCGUGAGCCUGUGUAGGUUAAGCGAUAUGGAAAAUGAAUGAAUGGAUGUAAAUAUUCCUUAGGGGUGGGCACAUAUAUUUUUGACAGAGAAAGAUUUGUUUCGUUAGAACAAAGACAAAUAGUUUAUCAAAUUGUUUUUGUUUUUUUUUAAAUGAAGAGGGCCAAUACUUCUGGAGUUUUGCUCUACUGCUCUGAGUUAUGUUAGAGUUCAAUUAGCUUUAGCACUCCUUUAAACUUUAAUAUGCAGGCUGAGAAGAUCUGAGCGAGCAGUUGUUAAAUUCGAGCUCUGCUCCGUCUAGACGAGCCUGUCUGCACAUUUAAAUUCCGAGAUGAGUGAAUCUGGCAGCUUUUAUGUAUAAAUAUCUCAAUUAUCCAUAGCCAAGAAUGAAGCCACUCGAUAACGCCCACGGCCUUGUCUUCUUCUCCUUCUUGUUUCCAGUAGAUUUUUAUGCUGUCAUAUCUUAAAUGAGCUUUGUGUGUGUGCAUGUGUUGUUACCAUCCCAGUGGUGCUCGAGGGGACAGUUGGCACAACAUGCCUUAAUUAAAGUGUUUUGAACUGAGAAAUAAGCUGAGACAUGACUUUAUGCUCACACCAAAGAUAGUCCUACUUUUUUAGUCCGGGGUAAAUAUUAUAGAACGUUCCUACCCACUUGCAGUUUGGAUGUAGGCUAAGGGUGAAUAUCUUGUUGACAGCGAGUCGAACCCUCCUGGCAGAUGAAAAUAUGCGAACUUGGAAGCAUGCCUAGGUAGUGACGUUAAUUAAAGAUUUCCUAGACUAAGCUCCAACGCAUAAAUAAAACACCACCGUACCUACAGCAGGUUUGGGGACUAUUCCUCGUAUGCAGUUUUACCGAACAUUGGCCUCAUCUCACCACAACAGGCAAUUCGUACUGUAGUUCCCAUCAUGUUUAGGUGCUGGAUUUCAUAACUAGUGUCUGAGGAAGGACUUCCCAACAGCUUUGUGUUAUGGAUACGUUGAUUAUGAAGCUUAACGACCUCAAGACUCGAGUAAAGCAUCAUUCUAAAACUGAUCUCUCACACCUUAUCCACUUCUUGAGAAACCCUGUUCCAAUUUUAAUAUAUCCCUUUUUAUUGCUCAUCUAUUUUAUAUCCAUUUCCUGAUUUGUACAGGUCAGUAACCAUGUCUAUUUUGUGUUGAGAGGUGUUUAGUUUCCACACAAUGAUGGAUAACAGGUAUGAAACUUCACACACACACACACACACACACACACAGACA
Molecule: long non-coding RNA, 3297 nt
Organism: Ictalurus punctatus (channel catfish)
Lineage: Eukaryota; Metazoa; Chordata; Actinopteri; Siluriformes; Ictaluridae
Exons: 3
Source: RefSeq, a predicted model, not a curated record